RNAcentral lists this long non-coding RNA (523 nucleotides) under Mus musculus (house mouse). RNAcentral's name for it is "predicted gene, 50424". Lineage: Eukaryota; Metazoa; Chordata; Mammalia; Rodentia; Muridae. The record is from RNAcentral.
CCUGACCGAGUUCUCUUGCUUUACUAAGUGACGGUGCAGAUGUCUGGACUUAUUCUAAACGGAUACGAUCUAGGACAAACCCUUCGACCAAAGCCUGGGCUCUUCUGGAGGCUGUGCUGUCUUAGCCGAGCACCACCAGCGUGAACGUGUACAUCCGUGAGAAUGAUCAUCCCAGAAGUUUGUGAAUCGGGUGCUAUUUCGCACGAGCAGAUCUGCUUUGAUGGUGGAGAGAGAUGGAAGAAGCUCUCAGCUUCACGUUAGUGCUCAGUGUGAUGUGACUUGGAAGACAAAGCCCAGGCUGCCCAAAUGAGGACGUCUUGCUGCGCCACGAGUGUCUCUUCUGCGAAAUGCUUGAUGUGGCAAGGCAGAACUUCUCUGGUGGCGAUGACAAUGUUGGAAGAAGACCACAUCCGGUCAGUGGCAGCAGUCAUGACCACAGGCCCGAACCUGGAAUAUUGGAAUACAGGGCCUUGCUCCUAUUACACAACCAACCUACCUCCGGAUUACAUUCCUCUACAUAUGG